UACAGAGGGCCCGAGCGUUGUUCGGAUUCAUUGGGCGUAAAGAGCGCGCAGGCGGUUUGGUAAGUCGGAUGUGAAAUCCCGGGGCUCAACCCCGGACCUGCAUCCGAUACUGCCCGACUAGAGGUAGGUAGGGGAGAUCGGAAUUCCUGGUGUAGCGGUGAAAUGCGCAGAUAUCAGGAGGAACACCGGUGGCGAAGGCGGAUCUCUGGGCCUUACCUGACGCUCAGGCGCGAAAGCUAGGGGAGCGAACAGG
RNAcentral lists this ribosomal RNA (253 nucleotides) under uncultured bacterium. RNAcentral describes it as "partial 16S ribosomal RNA". It matches the Rfam family "Bacterial small subunit ribosomal RNA", at positions 524 to 776 of the family's 1533-position model. The record is from RNAcentral.